RNAcentral lists this small nuclear RNA (107 nucleotides) under Lynx canadensis (Canada lynx). The record is from RNAcentral. Lineage: Eukaryota; Metazoa; Chordata; Mammalia; Carnivora; Felidae.
AUGCUCGCUUCGGCAGCACAUCUACUAAAAUUGGAACGAUACAGAGAAGAUUAGCAUGGCCCCUGUGCAAGGAUGACACGCAAACUCGUGAAGUGUUCCAUAUUUUU